UACGUAGGGGGCAAGCGUUGUCCGGAAUCAUUGGGCGUAAAGCGCGUGUAGGCGGCCAGAAAAGUCCGCUGUGAAAACUCGAGGCUCAACUUCGAGCUGUCGGUGGAAACUUUCUGGCUAGAGUCCGGAAGAGGAGAAUGGAAUUCCUGGUGUAGCGGUGAAAUGCGCAGAUAUCAGGAAGAACACCCGUGGCGAAGGCGGUUCUCUGGGACGGUACUGACGCUCAGGCGCGAAAGCUAGGGGAGCAAACAGG
RNAcentral lists this ribosomal RNA (253 nucleotides) under uncultured bacterium. RNAcentral's name for it is "partial 16S ribosomal RNA". It matches the Rfam family "Bacterial small subunit ribosomal RNA", at positions 524 to 776 of the family's 1533-position model. The record is from RNAcentral.